UGGGGAAUAUUGGGCAAUGGGGGGAACCCUGACCCAGCAACGCCGCGUGAGGGAAGAAGGUUUUCGGAUUGUAAACCUCUGUUCUUGGAGAAGAGAAGAAGACGGUAUCCAAGGAGGAAGCCCCGGCUAACUACGUGCCAGCAGCCGCGGUAAUACGUAGGGGGCGAGCGUUGUCCGGAAUGAUUGGGCGUAAAGGGCGCGCAGGCGGCCAUUCAAGUCAGUAGUGGAAGUCCAUUUUUCAAGGGUGGAAGUGCUAUUGAAACUGUAUGGCUUGAGUGCGGGAGAGGUUAUCGGAAUUCCCGGUGUAGCGGUGAAAUGCGUAGAGAUCGGGAGGAACACCAGUGGCGAAGGCGGGUAACUGGACCGCAACUGACGCUGAGGCGCGAAAGUGUGGGGAGCAAACAG
RNAcentral lists this ribosomal RNA (405 nucleotides) under uncultured bacterium. Its description in RNAcentral is "bacterial SSU rRNA". It matches the Rfam family "Bacterial small subunit ribosomal RNA", at positions 355 to 775 of the family's 1533-position model. The record is from RNAcentral.